RNAcentral lists this unclassified non-coding RNA (232 nucleotides) under Hevea brasiliensis (rubber tree). The record is from RNAcentral. Lineage: Eukaryota; Viridiplantae; Streptophyta; Magnoliopsida; Malpighiales; Euphorbiaceae.
GCCCACAAGGUUAUGGUAGCCACUGUACGCUGUGAAGAAAUUGCUCAUGAAAAGUUUACUUCCUUUACUUCUGAUGAGGAAUGGUGCCAACUUGAAGAGAGUGUACAACAUGGAAUAGUACCAGGUUUUGGCAAGAAGCUUAGCCAAAUACUCGACAAAUACCUAUCUGGAUAUGACACAGAAGUUUUAUAUUUUGAAGAACGUGUAAGGACUGCGAAACGGCAAGAAUUGG